UACGUAGGCAGCGAGCGUUGUUCGGAAUUACUGGGCGUAAAGCGUGUGUAGGUGGUGCUCUAAGUUUGGUGUGAAAUCUCCCGGCUCAACCGGGAGGGUGCAUCGAAAACUGGAGUGCUAGAGGAUGGGAGAGGCAAGCGGAAUUCCUGGUGUAGCGGUGAAAUGCGUAGAUAUCAGGAGGAACACCUGUGGUGUAGACAGCUUGCUGGACCAUUUCUGACACUGAGACACGAAAGCGUGGGUAGCAAACAGG
RNAcentral lists this ribosomal RNA (253 nucleotides) under uncultured bacterium. RNAcentral's name for it is "partial 16S ribosomal RNA". It matches the Rfam family "Bacterial small subunit ribosomal RNA", at positions 524 to 776 of the family's 1533-position model. The record is from RNAcentral.